AAAUUGAAGAGUUUGAUCAUGGCUCAGAUUGAACGCUGGCGGCAGGCCUAACACAUGCAAGUCGAACGGUAGCACAGAGAGCUUGCUCUCGGGUGACGAGUGGCGGACGGGUGAGUAAUGUCUGGGAAACUGCCUGAUGGAGGGGGAUAACUACUGGAAACGGUAGCUAAUACCGCAUAACGUCGCAAGACCAAAGUGGGGGACCUUCGGGCCUCAUGCCAUCAGAUGUGCCCAGAUGGGAUUAGCU
RNAcentral lists this ribosomal RNA (247 nucleotides) under Klebsiella sp. 10-1. RNAcentral describes it as "Raoultella sp. 10-1 partial 16S ribosomal RNA". It matches the Rfam family "Bacterial small subunit ribosomal RNA", at positions 1 to 246 of the family's 1533-position model. Lineage: Bacteria; Pseudomonadati; Pseudomonadota; Gammaproteobacteria; Enterobacterales; Enterobacteriaceae. The record is from RNAcentral.